AUAGAACAUCAGAUCCAGAAAAUUCAAUAGACCUAUUUUCUUUUAACAUAAAGGCAUACACUUACACAGAUGAGCGCAGAAAUCCAAACGUCAUGAGCUCGUUGGGAGAAGAAUUCAGCGACCCCUGACAAGAGUUUGGUCAAGGGAAGAUUCGUCAUCAAGACACAGGAAAUAAAGAAGAAAAGUAUCAAUUUCAGUAGUAUUAAUGCCAGGCAGAAUGUUGUUAAAAUAAGAAACAUUUUGAUUUGAAUAAAGUAUACAUGGAAUGCAUGAAAAUGCUGGGACUUUUGAAAAGUAUAAUAAAUUAAAUUGAUAAAAAUG
Mastomys coucha (southern multimammate mouse) is the source of this 321-nucleotide long non-coding RNA. RefSeq lists it as uncharacterized. NCBI's taxonomy places the organism in Eukaryota, Metazoa, Chordata, Mammalia, Rodentia, Muridae. The record is from RefSeq and is a predicted model, not a curated record. The transcript is spliced from 2 exons.